ACGAACGCUGGCGGCGUGCUUAACACAUGCCGGUCGAACGGAAAGGCCCUGCUUGCAGGGUACUCGAGUGGCGAACGGGUGAGUAACACGUGGGUGAUCUGCCCUGCACUUCGGGAUAAGCCUGGGAAACUGGGUCUAAUACCGGCUAGGAGCCAUUUUUAGUGUGAUGGUUGGAAAGUUUUUUCGGUGUAGGAUGAGCUCGCGGCCUAUCAGCUUGUUGGUGGGGUAAUGGCCUACCAAGGCGGCGACGGGUAGCCGGCCUGAGAGGGUGGACGGCCACAUUGGGACUGAGAUACGGCCCAGACUCCUACGGGAGGCAGCAGUGGGGAAUAUUGCACAAUGGGCGCAAGCCUGAUGCAGCGACGCCGCGUGGGGGAUGACGGCCUUCGGGUUGUAAACUCCUUUCGCUAGGGACGAAGCUUUUUGUGACGGUACCUAGAUAAGAAGCACCGGCUAACUACGUG
This 464-nucleotide ribosomal RNA is filed under the name uncultured bacterium. RNAcentral describes it as "partial 16S ribosomal RNA". It matches the Rfam family "Bacterial small subunit ribosomal RNA", at positions 29 to 507 of the family's 1533-position model. The record is from RNAcentral.